This is a non-coding RNA of Heligmosomoides polygyrus, 72 nucleotides long. NCBI's taxonomy places the organism in Eukaryota, Metazoa, Nematoda, Chromadorea, Rhabditida, Heligmosomidae. The record is from Rfam.
GCACUGGUGGUGUAAGGCGCAGCAUCGCUGCCCGGAAAGCAUAAGGCGCGGAUUCAAGUCCCGCCUGGCGCA